AUUGAACGCUGGCGGCAGGCCUAACACAUGCAAGUCGAGCGGAUGAAGGGAGCUUGCUCCUGGAUUCAGCGGCGGACGGGUGAGUAAUGCCUAGGAAUCUGCCUGGUAGUGGGGGAUAACGUCCGGAAACGGGCGCUAAUACCGCAUACGUCCUGAGGGAGAAAGUGGGGGAUCUUCGGACCUCACGCUAUCAGAUGAGCCUAGGUCGGAUUAGCUAGUUGGUGGGGUAAAGGCCUACCAAGGCGACGAUCCGUAACUGGUCUGAGAGGAUGAUCAGUCACACUGGAACUGAGACACGGUCCAGACUCCUACGGGAGGCAGCAGUGGGGAAUAUUGGACAAUGGGCGAAGGCCUGAUCCAGCCGUGCCGCGUGUGUGAAGAAGGUCUUCGGAUUGUAAAGCACUUUAAGUUGGGAGGAAGGGCAGUAAGUUAAUACCUUGCUGUUUUGACGUUACCAACAGAAUAAGCACCGGCUAACUUCGUG
Molecule: ribosomal RNA, 484 nt
Filed under: uncultured bacterium
Lineage: Bacteria
Description: partial 16S ribosomal RNA
Rfam family: Bacterial small subunit ribosomal RNA
Source: RNAcentral